GACCGAGGUUGUGUUUUCUUCAAAAUCAGUUAAUGAUCUAACGGAAAGUAUUAUUCACUCUCAUCCACCAUUCAUUUAUGUACGAAGAUUUACCUCUGUUCAUCAAGCAAACGGCGAGGAAAGUCGUCUCCCGUCUCUGAACACAAUGGUGGUAAUGUACCGAUCCAAUUUUUGGCAAACCGUUUACCAUCGUAAGCAAUGAAACUCGGCAUUGCCUCCACGGACCAAUAAAGAGGUCAGCGAUGAUGACAGCGAAGGAGAACUCCAGGGGGUCAGUGAUGAGGCACGAAGGAAAUGCGAUGACAGCAAAAAUGCUAGAAAAACAAAGAAGAAAUGCAAGAAGAAGAAAAGGAGCAGACAGAAAAGUAACGAGUCAUCUGAAACUGCUGUAAUGAAUAGGGUGGAUUCAGGUGGUAAAGAAGCAUCUGUACAAAGUGGAGAUUGGGAUGAAUGGAAGCAAAAAGAUGAACAGUUUGUACUUGGUCAAUUCCAAAGGGACCUAAAGGAAGCUUUGGAAGCAAGUAAACAAGAUGCUUGGCAUGCUAAACAAAAGCAAGAAUUGAUGAAAACAAUGACAAUUAGCCAUGAAGAUGAUGAGAGGAAGAAGGAAAAGCCUGUUGUGAUGUCAUUUAAUGAGUUUCAACCCAUGAGAUCCACAACGGGGAUAAAUUCACCAAAGCUUGAAGAAUCUUCCAAAACAGGACUUGAUAAUUUUCCUGCCUGGCCUAAUGGUUUUUCUGUAGGUACAAGGGGAAGUACAAGACAUUCAAAAGAGCCUUCUGUGCCAGAUUUGCAGCCAUGUACCUCAGGAAUUGCUCUUAAUGAAGUGCAGGUUAAGAGCGACAAUGAGAAGAAUGAUAAACCUGAGAAGUCAGCCUUACUCUCAAACAGAUCCAAUAAUGGAGGUAGAAUUCCAGACCACUCUACGCAAAUGUUAACAGAAAAAAAACUACUCCCAGCUGCCCAUGAAGACCAGUUACAUGCAGAAAUGGUUCACAUUAAAGAAAAGCUUUUCAAAUCAAAUCUUGAACUCAGUGAGCUUAAGAAAAUGAGGACUGAACAUAUCACAAUGAUUGAAGAUCUAAAAAAUGAAUUGCUUCAAGUGAAAAAGAGAAAUAAGCAAUUGUGUUUCAUCCUCAGCCAAGCAGAAAGGCAGCUAACAAGGUGUGCCAGCGUCUCAGGCCGGAGGAUCGCGAAUACCUCGAUUUUGUAUUGGACGACGACGCCCUACCAGAGAAUUUCCUUGCUUCUGACAUCGAAAUCAGAAACAAACAUCACCUGGUGUUUGCCGUUGAAGCUCAGCUUGAACUCCAGGCAAAAGCCAAAACAUGGUACAUCGACGACACCUUUAAACUCGUACGACGUUCUUUUACUCAACUGUUAACAAUGAAUGCCUUUGUUAGAUCUGGCGAAAGUUGCAAGCAAGUAUCUCUGAUCUACGUGCUAAUGUCGUCUCGAAAAAAGAAAGACUACAUGAAGGUUCAAGACCAUGAUCUCGGUGUGCCGUACAGCAGCGAUGACUGUAUCUACCAUUACAUCACGGCCCUUAUGGUUCUGCCGUACCUGCCGCACCAGGAAAUUUCAGGAAUUUUCCAAAGACUGAACUCCGUGCGACCACCCAAGCCCUUCAAGACCUAGUAAAUUUUAUGUCGACGCAGUGGAUUAAAAGCUCUACAUUUUCCCCCAGUUCUUGGAGCGUCUACGGACAGCCUGUGCGUACGAACAAUGAUAUUGAGGUCUGGCAAAACG
This is an RNA transcript of Pocillopora verrucosa, 1749 nucleotides long. It is a transcript of the gene named G kinase-anchoring protein 1, with no coding region annotated. NCBI's taxonomy places the organism in Eukaryota, Metazoa, Cnidaria, Anthozoa, Scleractinia, Pocilloporidae. The record is from RefSeq and is a predicted model, not a curated record.